RNAcentral lists this long non-coding RNA (232 nucleotides) under Elaeis guineensis (African oil palm). Its description in RNAcentral is "long non-coding RNA (EGUI_LNC036641)". The record is from RNAcentral. Lineage: Eukaryota; Viridiplantae; Streptophyta; Magnoliopsida; Arecales; Arecaceae.
AAAUCCAAGGCAUGUAAUAAUUAAGAGAUAUGAGAGGAAAAAAUUUGUUUGGCGCAAACACAUCUCAUGUGUCAUCCCUUAGUUUCCCAUGAAGAUUAAAAUCUUCUAUAUGGAAAGUAAUGGGUGUGGAAGAGCCUUCAGGCAGAAGAACUCCUCCACUUCUGCACCAACAAAUCUCCAAAAGCCAUAACAUGGUGCAUGGAGUAAAAAGAAUGCGAGAAAUAAAAGGAAG